This 945-nucleotide ribosomal RNA is filed under the name Rhinusa rara. RNAcentral describes it as "partial 16S ribosomal RNA". The stretch from base 398 to 602 matches the Rfam family "Archaeal large subunit ribosomal RNA", at positions 1797 to 2106 of the family's 2987-position model. The record is from RNAcentral. Lineage: Eukaryota; Metazoa; Arthropoda; Insecta; Coleoptera; Curculionidae.
UAUUUGUGUAUAAUUUUUACUGUAGAAUAAUUACUAUUAAUAUACUUAUAGAGGUUAGAUGCCAUUCGAUUUUAAAUAUAUCUAGUUUUUUAAGAAAAAAAUUUAAUUUUAUUUUUAUUUAAUUAUAAAAUUUACUUUUUAAUUUUAUAAUAGUAAAAUUUUAUUUUUUAAGGGAUGAGCUUUAAAAAAUAUUUAUAUAAUUUAUUAGUUUUUUUUAUUAAGUAGGAUUAAAAGUUUCUAUCUUUGAAAGUGUUUUAUAACAGUUUAAGAUAUUUAUAAAAUUUAUAUGUAUAAUAAAUUUAUUUUUUUUAUUAAAAUUUAGAUCUAAAUUUUUUACAUCUAGUAAUUAUGAUAAAAUUAGUAUAAUAUUAUGUAUAGGUUUUAUAUCUAUUAAAGGUUAGAUAAAGGAAUUCGGCAAAAAUAUUUUUCACCUGUUUAAUAAAAACAUGGCCUUUUGAUUAUAAUUUAAGGUCUAGCCUGCCCUAUGAUGUAACAGUUAAAUGGCCGCGGUAUUUUGACCGUGCAAAGGUAGCAUAAUCAGUAGUUUUUUAAUUGAAAGCUAGUAUGAAGGGUUGAAUGAGAAAAUAACUGUCUCUAUUUAAAUUUUUUAGAAUUUUAUUUUUAAGUAAAAAAGCUUAAAUAUAUAUUGAAGACGAGAAGACCCUAUAGAGUUUUAUAAAUUUGGCUGUUAGGUGUUUUAAAAUUAUAAAAUUUAAUAGUCAGACUUUAUUUAGUUGGGGUGAUUGAAAAAUUUAGUUAACUUUUUUUUCAUAGAAACAUUUAUUUAUGAAAAAUUGAUCCUUUUAUUAAGAUUAAAAGAUAAAAUUACCUUAGGGAUAACAGCGUAAUUUUUUUUAAGAGCCCGUAUCAAAAAAAAAGAUUGCGACCUCGAUGUUGGAUUAAAAUUUAUUUAUGGUGUAGAAGCUAAAAUAUUAGGUCUGUUCG